This 492-nucleotide ribosomal RNA is filed under the name uncultured bacterium. RNAcentral's name for it is "partial 16S ribosomal RNA". It matches the Rfam family "Bacterial small subunit ribosomal RNA", at positions 29 to 507 of the family's 1533-position model. The record is from RNAcentral.
AGUGAACGCUGGCGGUAGGCCUAACACAUGCAAGUCGAACGGCAGCACAGUAAGAGCUUGCUCUUACGGGUGGCGAGUGGCGGACGGGUGAGGAAUACAUCGGAAUCUACUUUUUCGUGGGGGAUAACGUAGGGAAACUUACGCUAAUACCGCAUACGACCUACGGGUGAAAGCAGGGGAUCUUCGGACCUUGCGCGAUUGAAUGAGCCGAUGUCGGAUUAGCUAGUUGGCGGGGUAAAGGCCCACCAAGGCGACGAUCCGUAGCUGGUCUGAGAGGAUGAACAGCCACACUGGAACUGAGACACGGUCCAGACUCCUACGGGAGGCAGCAGUGGGGAAUAUUGGACAAUGGGCGCAAGCAUGAUCCAGCCAUACCGCGUGGGUGAAGAAGGCCUUCGGGUUGUAAAGCCCUUUUGUUGGGAAAGAAAAGCAGCAGGUUAAUACCCCGCUGUUCUGACGGUACCCAAAGAAUAAGCACUGGCUAACUUCGUG